CCUACGGGUGGCAGCAGUGAGGAAUAUUGGUCAAUGGACGAGAGUCUGAACCAGCCAAGUAGCGUGAAGGAUGACUGCCCUAUGGGUUGUAAACUUCUUUUAUAUGGGAAUAAAAUGUUCCACGUGUGGGAUUUUGUAUGUACCAUAUGAAUAAGGAUCGGCUAACUCCGUGCCAGCAGCCGCGGUAAUACGGAGGAUCCGAGCGUUAUCCGGAUUUAUUGGGUUUAAAGGGAGCGUAGGUGGAUUUUUAAGUCAGUUGUGAAAGUUUGCGGCUCAACCGUAAAAUUGCAGUUGAAACUGGCAGUCUUGAGUACAGUAGAGGUGGGCGGAAGUCGUGGUGUAGCGGUGAAAUGCUUAGAUAUCACGAAGAACUCCGAUUGCGAAGGCAGUUCACUGGACUGCAACUGACACUGAGGCUCGAAAGUGUGGGUAUCAAACAGGAUUAGAUACCCCAGUAGUC
Molecule: ribosomal RNA, 460 nt
Filed under: uncultured bacterium
Lineage: Bacteria
Description: partial 16S ribosomal RNA
Rfam family: Bacterial small subunit ribosomal RNA
Source: RNAcentral